GGGACACGUGGUAUCCUGUCUGAAUAUGGGGGGACCAUCCUCCAAGGCUAAAUACUCCUGACUGACCGAUAGUGAACCAGUACCGUGAGGGAAAGGCGAAAAGAACCCCGGCGAGGGGAGUGAAAAAGAACCUGAAACCGUGUACGUACAAGCAGUGGGAGCACGCUUAGGCGUGUGACUGCGUACCUUUUGUAUAAUGGGUCAGCGACUUAUAUUCUGUAGCAAGGUUAACCGAAUAGGGGAGCCGAAGGGAAACCGAGUCUUAACUGGGCGUUAAGUUGCAGGGUAUAGACCCGAAACCCGGUGAUCUAGCCAUGGGCAGGUUGAAGGUUGGGUAACACUAACUGGAGGACCGAACCGACUAAUGUUGAAAAAUUAGCGGAUGACUUGUGGCUGGGGGUGAAAGGCCAAUCAAACCGGGAGAUAGCUGGUUCUCCCCGAAAGCUAUUUAGGUAGCGCCUCGUGAAUUCAUCUCCGGGGGUAGAGCACUGUUUCGGCAAGGGGGUCAUCCCGACUUACCAACCCGAUGCAAACUGCGAAUACCGGAGAAUGUUAUCACGGGAGACACACGGCGGGUGCUAACGUCCGUCGUGAAGAGGGAAACAACCCAGACCGCCAGCUAAGGUCCCAAAGUCAUGGUUAAGUGGGAAACGAUGUGGGAAGGCCCAGACAGCCAGGAUGUUGGCUUAGAAGCAGCCAUCAUUUAAAGAAAGCGUAAUAGCUCACUGGUCGAGUCGGCCUGCGCGGAAGAUGUAACGGGGCUAAACCAUGCACCGAAGCUGCGGCAGCGACACUAUGUGUUGUUGGGUAGGGGAGCGUUCUGUAAGCCUGUGAAGGUGUGCUGUGAGGCAUGCUGGAGGUAUCAGAAGUGCGAAUGCUGACAUAAGUAACGAUAAAGCGGGUGAAAAGCCCGCUCGCCGGAAGACCAAGGGUUCCUGUCCAACGUUAAUCGGGGCAGGGUGAGUCGACCCCUAAGGCGAGGCCGAAAGGCGUAGUCGAUGGGAAACAGGUUAAUAUUCCUGUACUUGGUGUUACUGCGAAGGGGGGACGGAGAAGGCUAUGUUGGCCGGGCGACGGUUGUCCCGGUUUAAGCGUGUAGGCUGGUUUUCCAGGCAAAUCCGGAAAAUCAAGGCUGAGGCGUGAUGACGAGGCACUACGGUGCUGAAGCAACAAAUGCCCUGCUUCCAGGAAAAGCCUCUAAGCAUCAGGUAACAUCAAAUCGUACCCCAAACCGACACAGGUGGUCAGGUAGAGAAUACCAAGGCGCUUGAGAGAACUCGGGUGAAGGAACUAGGCAAAAUGGUGCCGUAACUUCGGGAGAAGGCACGCUGAUAUGUAGGUGAAGUCCCUCGCGGAUGGAGCUGAAAUCAGUCGAAGAUACCAGCUGGCUGCAACUGUUUAUUAAAAACACAGCACUGUGCAAACACGAAAGUGGACGUAUACGGUGUGACGCCUGCCCGGUGCC
Molecule: ribosomal RNA, 1465 nt
Filed under: Escherichia coli
Lineage: Bacteria; Pseudomonadati; Pseudomonadota; Gammaproteobacteria; Enterobacterales; Enterobacteriaceae
Description: partial 23S ribosomal RNA
Rfam family: Bacterial large subunit ribosomal RNA
Source: RNAcentral